RNAcentral lists this ribosomal RNA (352 nucleotides) under uncultured bacterium. Its description in RNAcentral is "bacterial SSU rRNA". It matches the Rfam family "Bacterial small subunit ribosomal RNA", at positions 917 to 1271 of the family's 1533-position model. The record is from RNAcentral.
GGGCCCGCACAAGCGGUGGAGCAUGUGGUUUAAUUCGAUGCAACGCGAAAAACCUUACCUACCCUUGAAUCCCGAGAACUUUAUAGAGAUAUAUUGGUGCCGCAAGGAGCUCGGAGACAGGUGCUGCAUGGCUGUCGUCAGCUCGUGUCGUGAGAUGUUGGGUUAAGUCCCGUAACGAGCGCAACCCUUAUCCUUAGUAGCCAUCAUUUAGUUGGGGACUCUAAGGAGACUGCCGGUGAUAAACCGGAGGAAGGUGAGGACGACGUCAAGUCAUCAUGGCCUUUAUGGGUAGGGCUACACACGUGCUACAAUGGGUGCUACAAAGGGAAGCGAAGUCGCGAGGCGGAGCAAA